RNAcentral lists this long non-coding RNA (911 nucleotides) under Podarcis lilfordi (Lilford's wall lizard). Lineage: Eukaryota; Metazoa; Chordata; Lepidosauria; Squamata; Lacertidae. The record is from RNAcentral.
CGAAAGAACACUCAGAAACUGGACACUGCAAAUGACUCAGGGGGAAGGUAUUUCCCCUCUGCUACCUCCGCGUGAAUUUAAAUUAUGGUACUGGAGUACAAUUAUGGUGCUGGAGGAGACUCUUGAAAGUCCCAUGGACUGCAAGAAGAUCAAACCUAUUCAUUCUGAAGGAAAUCAGCCCUGAGUGCUCACUGGAAGGACAGAUCCUGAAGCUGAGGCUCCAAUACUUUGGCCACCUCAUGAGAAGAGAAGACUCCCUGGAAAAGACCCUGAUGUUGGGAAAGAUGGAGGGCACAAGCAGAAGGGGACGAUAGAGGAUGAGAUGGUGGGUCAGUGGUGUAGUGGUUAAGAGCGGUAGUCUCGUAAUCUGGGGAACCGGGUUUGCGUCUCCGCUCCUCCACAUGCAGCUGCUGGGUGACCUUGGGCCAGUCACACUUCUCUGAAGUCUCUCAGCCCCACUCACCUCACAGAGUGUUUGUUGUGGGGGAGGAAGGGAAAGGAGAAUGUUAGCCGCUUUGAGACUCCUGAAGGGGAGUGAAAGGCGGGAUAUCAAAUCCAAACUCCUCCUCCUCCUCCUCCUCCUCCUCCUCCUCUUCUUCUUCUUCUUCUUCUUCUUCUUCUUCUUCUUCUUCUUCUUCUUCAGUGUUCUGGAAGCUACCAGCAUGAGUCUGACCAAACUGUGGGAGGCAAUGGAAGACAGGAGUGCCUGGUAUGCUCUGGUCCAUGGGGUCACGAAGAGUCGGACACGACUAAACGACUAAACAACAACAACCUCUGGGUGAAGACUGAGAGAGCCGGGCUCUUCCCCAUCAAAAUAUGUGUCCUUGCACCUCUGGCCUUAGCCACACUGCUAAGCUAGGUAGCAGGGUUGCUGCCUGCCACCCACUGCAGACCCAGGACAAAUGGAUCUG